UACGUAGGUGGCAAGCGUUGUCCGGAAUUAUUGGGCGUAAAGCGCGCGCAGGCGGUUUCUUAAGUCUGAUGUGAAAGCCCACGGCUCAACCGUGGAGGGUCAUUGGAAACUGGGAAACUUGAGUACAGAAGAGGAGAGUGGAAUUCCACGUGUAGCGGUGAAAUGCGUAGAUAUGUGGAGGAAUACCAGUGGCGAAGGCGACUCUCUGGUCUGUCACUGACGCUGAGGCGCGAAAGCGUGGGGAGCAAACAGG
This 253-nucleotide ribosomal RNA is filed under the name uncultured bacterium. RNAcentral's name for it is "partial 16S ribosomal RNA". It matches the Rfam family "Bacterial small subunit ribosomal RNA", at positions 524 to 776 of the family's 1533-position model. The record is from RNAcentral.